AUUGGUACGGAACAACCCAGAGAAAUUUGGGCUAAUACCGUAUGCGCCCCUUCGGGAAAGAUUUAUCGCCGAUCGAUGAGCCCGCGUUGGAUUAGCUAGAUGGUGAGGUAAGAGCUUACCAUGGCGACGAUCCAUAGCUGGUCUGAGAGGAUGAUCAGCCACACUGGGACUGAGACACGGCCCAGACUCCUACGGGAGGCAGCAGUGGGGAAUAUUGGACAAUGGGGGCAACCCUGAUCCAGCCAUGCCGCGUGAGUGAUGAAGGCCCUAGGGUUGUAAAGCUCUUUCAGUCAUGAGGAUAAUGACGUUAAUGACAGAAGAAGCCCCGGCUAACUUCGUGCCAGCAGCCGCGGUAAUACGAAGGGGGCUAGCGUUGUUCGGAAUCACUGGGCGUAAAGCGCACGUAGGCGGACUUUUAAGUCAGGGGUGAAAUCCCGAGGCUCAACCUCGGAACUGCCUUUGAUACUGGAAGUCUUGAGUUCGAGAGAGGUGAGUGGAACUCCGAGUGUAGAGUUGAAAUUCGUAGAUAUUCGGAAGAACACCAGUGGCGAAG
Molecule: ribosomal RNA, 553 nt
Filed under: uncultured bacterium
Lineage: Bacteria
Description: bacterial SSU rRNA
Rfam family: Bacterial small subunit ribosomal RNA
Source: RNAcentral